CUCGAGAGUCUGUAUAGUACGCUCGACUGCCCGUCACUCUGGGGGUGGAAAGCAGUGCUGAAGUCAAACGCGUACCCAGAGCGUCCUGUAAGCUCUUCCAAAAGUGUGAUACAAAACGGGGGUCUCGAUCCGAACGAUAGAAGUAGGUACCCCGUGCAAUCGCACAAUUCUCAUCCAAGUAUACCUGUGCGAGUCUCUCACCAGUCCAAGUAGUGUGGAUAGGUAUGAAAUGUGCCGAUUUCGUCAAUCUAUCCACAAUCACCCAAAUAGCGUCGUGCCCGGCCGUGAGCGAGGCAAUCCUAUCACGAAAUCCAUGGUGAUCUUUUCCCAUUUCCACA
RNAcentral lists this long non-coding RNA (338 nucleotides) under Ananas comosus (pineapple). RNAcentral describes it as "long non-coding RNA (ACOM_LNC027760)". The record is from RNAcentral. Lineage: Eukaryota; Viridiplantae; Streptophyta; Magnoliopsida; Poales; Bromeliaceae.